GACGAACGCUGGCGGCGUGCUUAACACAUGCAAGUCGAACGGUGAAGCGCCUUCCUUUUUGGUGGGUGUGGAUGAGUGGCGAACGGGUGAGUAACACGUGAGUAACCUGCCCCCUUCUUCUGGAUAACCGCAUGAAAGUGUGGCUAAUACGGGAUAUUCUGGGUCUGUCGCAUGAUGGGUCUGGGAAAGAUAUUGUUUCGGUGGGGGAUGGGCUCGCGGCCUAUCAGCUUGUUGGUGGGGUGAUGGCCUACCAAGGCGGUGACGGGUAGCCGGCCUGAGAGGGCGGACGGUCACACUGGGACUGAGACACGGCCCAGACUCCUACGGGAGGCAGCAGUGGGGAAUACUGCACAAUGGGCGCAAGCCUGAUGCAGCGACGCCGCGUGAGGGAUGGAGGCCUUCGGGUUGUGAACCUCUUUCGCCAGUGAAGCAGGCCUGCCUCGUUUGUGGGUGGGUUGACGGUAGCUGGAUAAGAAGCGCCGGCUAACUACGUG
This 494-nucleotide ribosomal RNA is filed under the name uncultured bacterium. Its description in RNAcentral is "partial 16S ribosomal RNA". It matches the Rfam family "Bacterial small subunit ribosomal RNA", at positions 28 to 507 of the family's 1533-position model. The record is from RNAcentral.